RNAcentral lists this ribosomal RNA (449 nucleotides) under uncultured bacterium. RNAcentral describes it as "partial 16S ribosomal RNA". It matches the Rfam family "Bacterial small subunit ribosomal RNA", at positions 29 to 523 of the family's 1533-position model. The record is from RNAcentral.
AAUGAACGCUGGCGGCAGGCCUAACACAUGCAAGUCGAACGGAUCCUUCGGGAUUAGUGGCGGACGGGUGAGUAACGCGUGGGAACAUACCCUUUGGUACGGAAUAGCCUCGGGAAACUGGGAGUAAUACCGUAUGUGGUCGAGAGACGAAAGAUUUAUCGCCAAAGGAUUGGCCCGCGUUGGAUUAGGUAGUUGGUGGGGUAAUGGCCUACCAAGCCGACGGUCCAUAGCUGGUUUGAGAGGAUGAUCAGCCACACUGGGACUGAGACACGGCCCAGACUCCUACGGGAGGCAGCAGUGGGGAAUUUUAGACAAUGGGGGAAACCCUGAUCUAGCCAUGCCGCGUGAUCGAUGAAGGCCUUAGGGUUGUAAAGAUCUUUCAGGUGGGUAGAUAAUGACUGUACCACCAGAAGAAGCCCCGGCUAACUCCGUGCCAGCCGCCGCGGUAA